GAUCAUGGCUCAGGAUGAACGCUGGCGGCGUGCCUAACACAUGCAAGUCGAACGGAGCUGCUUUGAUGAAGUUUUUCGGAUGGAUUUAAAACAGCUUAGUGGCGGACGGGUGAGUAACGCGUGGGUAACCUGCCUCACACUUGGGGGAUAACGAGUUAGAAAUAGCUGCUAAUACCGCAUAAGCGCACGGUUUCCGCAUGGAACAGUGUGAAAAACUCCGGUGGUGUGAGAUGGACCCGCGU
RNAcentral lists this ribosomal RNA (242 nucleotides) under uncultured bacterium. RNAcentral describes it as "partial 16S ribosomal RNA". It matches the Rfam family "Bacterial small subunit ribosomal RNA", at positions 15 to 236 of the family's 1533-position model. The record is from RNAcentral.